Molecule: ribosomal RNA, 2605 nt
Filed under: Vibrio cholerae
Lineage: Bacteria; Pseudomonadati; Pseudomonadota; Gammaproteobacteria; Vibrionales; Vibrionaceae
Description: partial 23S ribosomal RNA
Rfam family: Bacterial large subunit ribosomal RNA
Source: RNAcentral
CAAGCUGGAAAGCUUGGCGAUACAGGGUGAUAGCCCCGUAACCGACGCUUCAUCGAGCGUGAAAUCGAGUAGGGCGGGACACGUGAUAUCCUGUCUGAAUAUGGGGGGACCAUCCUCCAAGGCUAAAUACUCCUGACUGACCGAUAGUGAACCAGUACCGUGAGGGAAAGGCGAAAAGAACCCCUGUGAGGGGAGUGAAAUAGAACCUGAAACCGUGUACGUACAAGCAGUAGGAGCACCUUCGUGGUGUGACUGCGUACCUUUUGUAUAAUGGGUCAGCGACUUAUAUUCAGUGGCAAGGUUAACCGUAUAGGGGAGCCGUAGCGAAAGCGAGUCUUAACUGGGCGCUCAGUCUCUGGAUAUAGACCCGAAACCGGGUGAUCUAGCCAUGGGCAGGUUGAAGGUUGAGUAACAUCAACUGGAGGACCGAACCGACUAAUGUUGAAAAAUUAGCGGAUGACUUGUGGCUAGGGGUGAAAGGCCAAUCAAACUCGGAGAUAGCUGGUUCUCCCCGAAAGCUAUUUAGGUAGCGCCUCGGACGAAUACUACUGGGGGUAGAGCACUGUUAAGGCUAGGGGGUCAUCCCGACUUACCAACCCUUUGCAAACUCCGAAUACCAGUAAGUACUAUCCGGGAGACACACGGCGGGUGCUAACGUCCGUCGUGGAGAGGGAAACAACCCAGACCGCCAGCUAAGGUCCCAAAGUAUUGCUAAGUGGGAAACGAUGUGGGAAGGCUCAGACAGCUAGGAUGUUGGCUUAGAAGCAGCCAUCAUUUAAAGAAAGCGUAAUAGCUCACUAGUCGAGUCGGCCUGCGCGGAAGAUGUAACGGGGCUAAGCAAUACACCGAAGCUGCGGCAAUAUCUUUUAGAUAUUGGGUAGGGGAGCGUUCUGUAAGCCGUUGAAGGUGAAUCGUAAGGUUUGCUGGAGGUAUCAGAAGUGCGAAUGCUGACAUGAGUAACGACAAAGGGGGUGAAAAACCUCCUCGCCGGAAGACCAAGGGUUCCUGUCCAACGUUAAUCGGGGCAGGGUGAGUCGACCCCUAAGGUGAGGCCGAAAGGCGUAAUCGAUGGGAAACGGGUUAAUAUUCCCGUACUUCUGACUAUUGCGAUGGGGGGACGGAGAAGGCUAGGUGGGCCAGGCGACGGUUGUCCUGGUUCAAGUGCGUAGGCUUGAGAGUUAGGUAAAUCCGGCUCUCUUUAAGGCUGAGACACGACGUCGAGCUGCUACGGCAGUGAAGUCAUUGAUGCCAUGCUUCCAGGAAAAGCCUCUAAGCUUCAGAUAGUCAGGAAUCGUACCCCAAACCGACACAGGUGGUCGGGUAGAGAAUACCAAGGCGCUUGAGAGAACUCGGGUGAAGGAACUAGGCAAAAUGGUACCGUAACUUCGGGAGAAGGUACGCUCUUGAUGGUGAAGUCCCUCGCGGAUGGAGCUGACGAGAGUCGCAGAUACCAGGUGGCUGCAACUGUUUAUUAAAAACACAGCACUGUGCAAAAUCGCAAGAUGACGUAUACGGUGUGACGCCUGCCCGGUGCCGGAAGGUUAAUUGAUGGGGUUAGCGCAAGCGAAGCUCUUGAUCGAAGCCCCGGUAAACGGCGGCCGUAACUAUAACGGUCCUAAGGUAGCGAAAUUCCUUGUCGGGUAAGUUCCGACCUGCACGAAUGGCGUAAUGAUGGCCACGCUGUCUCCACCCGAGACUCAGUGAAAUUGAAAUCGCUGUGAAGAUGCAGUGUACCCGCGGCUAGACGGAAAGACCCCGUGAACCUUUACUACAGCUUGGCACUGAACAUUGAACCUACAUGUGUAGGAUAGGUGGGAGGCUAUGAAGACGUGACGCCAGUUGCGUUGGAGCCGUCCUUGAAAUACCACCCUUGUAUGUUUGAUGUUCUAACGUUGGCCCCUAAUCGGGGUUGCGGACAGUGCCUGGUGGGUAGUUUGACUGGGGCGGUCUCCUCCCAAAGAGUAACGGAGGAGCACGAAGGUGGGCUAAUCACGGUUGGACAUCGUGAGGUUAGUGCAAUGGCAUAAGCCCGCUUAACUGCGAGAAUGACGGUUCGAGCAGGUGCGAAAGCAGGUCAUAGUGAUCCGGUGGUUCUGUAUGGAAGGGCCAUCGCUCAACGGAUAAAAGGUACUCCGGGGAUAACAGGCUGAUACCGCCCAAGAGUUCAUAUCGACGGCGGUGUUUGGCACCUCGAUGUCGGCUCAUCACAUCCUGGGGCUGAAGUCGGUCCCAAGGGUAUGGCUGUUCGCCAUUUAAAGUGGUACGCGAGCUGGGUUUAGAACGUCGUGAGACAGUUCGGUCCCUAUCUGCCGUGGGCGUUGGAAGAUUGAAGGGGGCUGCUCCUAGUACGAGAGGACCGGAGUGGACGAACCUCUGGUGUUCGGGUUGUGUCGCCAGACGCAUUGCCCGGUAGCUAAGUUCGGAAUUGAUAAGCGCUGAAAGCAUCUAAGCGCGAAGCGAGCCCUGAGAUGAGUCUUCCCUGAUACUUUAAGUAUCCUAAAGGGUUGUUCGAGACUAGAACGUUGAUAGGCAGGGUGUGUAAGCGUUGUGAGGCGUUGAGCUAACCUGUACUAAUUGCCCGUGAGGCUUAACCAUACAACACCCA